UUUUGCGCAAUGGGCGAAAGCCUGACGCAGCAACGCCGCGUGGGGGAUGAAGGCCUUCGGGUUGUAAACCCCUUUCAGGAGGGAAGAAAAUGACGGUACCUCCAGAAGAAGCACCGGCCAACUACGUGCCAGCAGCCGCGGUAAUACGUAGGGUGCGAGCGUUAUCAUGAAUCAUUGGGCGUAAAGAGCUCGUAGGCGGUUCAACAAGUCGGCUGUGAAAGUCUGGGGCUCAACCCCAUAAUUGCAGUCGAUACUGUUGUGACUUGAGUCCGGUAGAGGAGAAUGGAAUUCCCGGUGUAGCGGUGGAAUGCGCAGAUAGCGGGAGGAACACCAGUAGCGAAGGCGGUUCUCUGGGCCGGCACUGACGCUGAGGAGCGAAAGCGUGGGGAGCAAACA
Molecule: ribosomal RNA, 396 nt
Filed under: uncultured bacterium
Lineage: Bacteria
Description: bacterial SSU rRNA
Rfam family: Bacterial small subunit ribosomal RNA
Source: RNAcentral